UACAGAGGGUGCAAGCGUUAAUCGGAAUUACUGGGCGUAAAGCGUGCGCAGGCGGUGAGCUGUGUCCGAUGUGAAAGCCCCGGGCUUAACCUGGGAAUGGCAUUGGAAACUGGCUCGCUGGAGUGUGGCAGAGGGGGGUGGAAUUCCGACGUGUAGCAGUGAAAUGCGUAGAGAUGUGGAGGAACACCGAUGGCGAAGGCAGCCCCCUGGGCUAAGAUUGACGCUCAGGCACGAAAGCGUGGGGAGCAAACAGG
Molecule: ribosomal RNA, 254 nt
Filed under: uncultured bacterium
Lineage: Bacteria
Description: partial 16S ribosomal RNA
Rfam family: Bacterial small subunit ribosomal RNA
Source: RNAcentral